GACGAACGCUGGCGGCGUGCUUAACACAUGCAAGUCGAACGGAAAGGCCCUGCUUUUGUGGGGUGCUCGAGUGGCGAACGGGUGAGUAACACGUGAGUAACCUGCCCUUGACUUUGGGAUAACUUCAGGAAACUGGGGCUAAUACCGGAUAGGAGCUCCUGCUGCAUGGUGGGGGUUGGAAAGUUUCGGCGGUUGGGGAUGGACUCGCGGCUUAUCAGCUUAUUGGUGGGGUAGUGGCUUACCAAGGCUUUGACGGGUAGCCGGCCUGAGAGGGUGACCGGCCACAUUGGGACUGAGAUACGGCCCAGACUCCUACGGGAGGCAGCAGUGGGGAAUAUUGCACAAUGGGCGGAAGCCUGAUGCAGCAACGCCGCGUGCGGGAUGACGGCCUUCGGGUUGUAAACCGCUUUCGCCUGUGACGAAGCGUGAGUGACGGUAAUGGGUAAAGAAGCACCGGCUAACUACGUGCCAGCAGCCGCGGUGAUACGUAGGGUGCGAGCGUUGUCCGGAUUUAUUGGGCGUAAAGGGCUCGUAGGUGGUUGAUCGCGUCGGAAGUGUAAUCUUGGGGCUUAACCCUGAGCGUGCUUUCGAUACGGGUUGACUUGAGGAAGGUAGGGGAGAAUGGAAUUCCUGGUGGAGCGGUGGAAUGCGCAGAUAUCAGGAGGAACACCAGUGGCGAAGGCGGUUCUCUGGGCCUUUCCUGACGCUGAGGAGCGAAAGCGUGGGGAGCGAACAGGCUUAGAUACCCUGGUAGUCCACGCUGUAAACGGUGGGUACUAGGUGUGGGGUCCAUUCCACGGGUUCCGUGCCGUAGCUAACGCUUUAAGUACCCCGCCUGGGGAGUACGGCCGCAAGGCUAAAACUCAAAGGAAUUGACGGGGCCCCGCACAAGCGGCGGAGCAUGCGGAUUAAUUCGAUGCAACGCGUAGAACCUUACCUGGGUUUGACAUGGAUCGGGAGUGCUCAGAGAUGGGUGUGCCUCUUUUGGGGUCGGUUCACAGGUGGUGCAUGGCUGUCGUCAGCUCGUGUCGUGAGAUGUUGGGUUAAGUCCCGCAACGAGCGCAACCCUUGUUCACUGUUGCCAGCACGUUAUGGUGGGGACUCAGUGGAGACCGCCGGGGUCAACUCGGAGGAAGGUGGGGAUGACGUCAAGUCAUCAUGCCCCUUAUGUCCAGGGCUUCACGCAUGCUACAAUGGCUGGUACAGAGAGUGGCGAGCCUGUGAGGGUGAGCGAAUCUCGGAAAGCCGGUCUCAGUUCGGAUUGGGGUCUGCAACUCGACCUCAUGAAGUCGGAGUCGCUAGUAAUCGCAGAUCAGCAACGCUGCGGUGAAAAAGUUCCCGGGGCU
Molecule: ribosomal RNA, 1346 nt
Filed under: uncultured bacterium
Lineage: Bacteria
Description: partial 16S ribosomal RNA
Rfam family: Bacterial small subunit ribosomal RNA
Source: RNAcentral